GAUGAACGCUGGCGGCGUGCCUAGUACAUGCAAGUCGAGCGAAUGGAUUGAGAGCUUGCUCUUAUGAAGUUAGCGGCGGACGGGUGAGUAACACGUGGGUAACCUGCCCAUAAGACUGGGAUAACUCCGGGAAACCGGGGCUAAUACCGGAUAACAUUUUGAACCGCAUGGUUCGAAAUUGAAAGGCGGCUUCGGCUGUCACUUAUGGAUGGACUCGCGUCGCAUUAGCUAGUUGGUGAGGUAACGGCUCACCAAGGCAACGAUGCGUAGCCGACCUGAGAGGGUGAUCGGCCAGACUCGGACUGAGACACGGCCCAGGCGCCGACGGGAGGCAGCAGUAGGGAAUCUUCCGCAAUGGACGAAAGUCUGACGGAGCAACGCCGCGUGAGUGAUGAAGGCUUGCGGGUCGUAAAACUCUGUUGUUAGGGAAGAACAAGUGCUAGUUGAAUAAGCUGGCACCUUGACGGUACCUAACCAGAAAGCCACGGCUAACUACGUGCCAGCAGCCGCGGUAA
This 515-nucleotide ribosomal RNA is filed under the name uncultured bacterium. Its description in RNAcentral is "partial 16S ribosomal RNA". It matches the Rfam family "Bacterial small subunit ribosomal RNA", at positions 28 to 523 of the family's 1533-position model. The record is from RNAcentral.